RNAcentral lists this ribosomal RNA (357 nucleotides) under Oenococcus oeni. RNAcentral describes it as "bacterial SSU rRNA". It matches the Rfam family "Bacterial small subunit ribosomal RNA", at positions 1183 to 1533 of the family's 1533-position model. Lineage: Bacteria; Bacillati; Bacillota; Bacilli; Lactobacillales; Lactobacillaceae. The record is from RNAcentral.
CGUCAGAUCAUCAUGCCCCUUAUGACCUGGGCAACACACGUGCUACAAUGGGAAGUACAACGAGUCGCAAACCGGCGACGGUAAGCUAAUCUCUUAAAACUUCUCUCAGUUCGGACUGGAGUCUGCAACUCGACUCCACGAAGGCGGAAUCGCUAGUAAUCGCGAAUCAGCAUGUCGCGGUGAAUACGUUCCCGGGUCUUGUACACACCGCCCGUCAAAUCAUGGGAGUCGGAAGUACCCAAAGUCGCUUGGCUAACUUUUAGAGGCCGGUGCCUAAGGUAAAAUCGAUGACUGGGAUUAAGUCGUAACAAGGUAGCCGUAGGAGAACCUGCGGCUGGAUCACCUCCUUUCUAAGGA